CAUUUUAUUGUCGACCGUCCGAUUACAAUCGGAGGGUCAUUCUAGCCCCUUUUCUAAAUUUCUUUUGCUAUAUGUAGUAGACACCCCUUUGUCCAUUUGUAGCCUAACCCUAAAAUCUAGGGGAUCUACCUCAUCCAUUCCGUGUCCGCCGCCGCCACCAACUCACCAUCUACCUCGGGAUCCCUUCUGAUCCUGAAUCCACCAAUCAAUAGCCCCCUCCAUCCACCAGCGCCUCCUCUGCUCAAUCCCGAGGGGAUCACGAGCAGCUCGCCACUGGUUGCAAGCAGCAGCACCAGCAGGACCCCGUCGCCCCUUCCCAUCUUCUUCUCCUUCAUCCCUCCUUCCUCUGGUUCUCUCCAUCGUCUCUCAUGCCUCUCCCUCCCUGUUCCAGGAAUAGCCAUGGAUGGCCGCAGCUCCCUCUCCGCCGUUUGCACCAAGCCCAGCCAGGAGACGGAUGAAUUCGUCCUCCUGCGUCCAUCCCCGCGUCCCGCUCGUCCCGGAGCUCCCCUACACCACCUCGCUGGAGAUGCCACAUCCUCUGCUUCCUCUUGCGCCUACAGCAGCACCCGAGCACCUGCUUCUCCUCUCGUGUGCCUCGUUAGACUGGCUGCUGCCAGCGACCCAGACCAGGCGCCAUCAGAAGGGAACUCAAGGACCCGCCAUGGAUGGUUUGUGCCACCGCCACCGAUCACGUUCCUCGCCGGAUCCGGUGACCUCCGCCUCGGAUCCGCCGGCUCCGUCCCGUUCUGGGUCUUCCCCGCCUCAAGCUGCGUCGCCCUCGCCGGAGACCCCGUGCAAGUUCCUGCCGAUGCCUCCCCUGCGUCCUCUCCAUCACGUCGUCCCUGUCUUCCCUGCUCCAGAUCGAAUGCCACUCCGCGCCGCCGGCCAAGUCCCUCAACCCACUGAUCGGAGCCACCUCCUUGUCGUUCCCUCGCCGGACCUCCUCUGCUUCACCUACCGCGCCGCCGUUGCCAGUCGUCGGCCUCGCCCUCUACUUCGAGCCGCGUCGAGCUUUUCAGCAAGGACGCCAGCUCCCGCUCGACCAGGUUGACUUGAUCGAGUCAACCACCAGAUCCGCGCACGCUUGGGCCAGCCUCGCCUCGGCCCAGCUGGCUCUGCAUGCCCAACACCUCCACCGACCUGGGUGAAGCCGUUGAGCAGCCCAGCUGCCCAGUGCUUGAUCAGAUUCGGCCUGAUCUCAGGCAAGAUGACCAUUACCCUCGAUAUCACUUCUAUCUUUGCUUUCUAGUUGUUCGCUCCACCACUAUGUUGUGCUAGCUACCACUUGUUUAUCAUGCCUCCCAUAUUUCCAUGUCAAGCCUCCAACCCACCUUCCUAGCAAACUGUUGUUUGGCUAAGUUACCGCUUUUGCUCAGCCCCUCUUAUAGCGUUGCUAGUUGUAGGUGCCUUGCAGGUUGUUCCAUGUUGGAACAUGGAUAUGUUGGGAUAUCACAAUAUCUCUUAUUUUAAUUAAUGAUCUAUAUACAUGGCAAAGGGUGGAAGGCUUGGCCUUUUGCUCGGUGUUUUGUUCCACUCUUGCCGCCCUAGUUUCCAUCAUACCAGUGUUAUGUUCCUUGAUUUUGUGUUCCUUACGUGGUCGGUGUUAUGGGACCCCCUUAACAAUUCGCUUUGAAUAAAAAUCCUUCAGCAAGGCCCAACUUUGGUUUUAACAUUUGCCUAACAACAACCCAAAAUUUUGCCUAGAGAGUAAUUAACCCGAGGAUCAUCUUUAUUCAACGUCCCCAGGCCCGUGCUCCUCUGAGUGUUGGUCCGAACCUAGUAGACUGCGAGGCCACCUCGAGGAAACUUCAGGGUUGGUUUUACUCGUAGGAUGUCACAUACGGUGUGCCCUGAGAACGAGAUAUGUGCAGCUCCUAUCAGGACUUACCGGCACAUUCAGGCGGUCUUGCUGGUCUUGUUUUAACAUUGUCGAAAUGUCUUGUAACCGGGAUUCCGAGACUGAUCGGGUCUUUCCGGGAGAAGGAAUAUCCUUCGUUGAUCGUGAGCGCUUGUGAUGGGCUAAGUUGGGAGACCCCUGCAGGGUAUAAACUUUUGAGAGCCGUGCCCGUGGUUAUAUAGCAGUUGGGAAUUUUGUUAAUAUCGGGUUGUAGAGAACUUGACACUUGAAUUAAUUAAAAUGCAUCAACCGCAUGUGUAGCCGUGAUGGUCUCUUUUCGGCGGAGUCCGGGAAGUGAACACGGUUUGGGUUAUGUAUGACCGUAAGUAGUUUCAGGAUCACUUCUAGCUUCACAUCCGUUGCGUAGUUUCUCUUCUUACUCUUGUACUCGUUUGUUAGCCACCAUAUUUUGCUUAGCGCUUGCUGCAACUCCACCUCAUUACCUUAUCCUACCCACAAGCUUAAAUAGUCUUGAUCUCGCAGGUUUUGAGAUUGCUGAGUCCUUGUGACUCACAUAUACUACCAAAACAGUUGCAGGUUCCGAUGAUGCCAGUGUAGGUGAUGCCACCGAACUCAAGUGAACAAGACUAUUGAAGCUUGGUUGGGACGAUCGGGCAUCUAGCAUUUGGGGUUAUCUUAUUUUCAUUUGGAUUUGUCCGUAGUUGACUAUGUGUGUACUCUGAAUGAUGUAUGAAUUAUUUGAUCAUUGUGUGACAUGGCGAUUGUAAGCCAACUCUAUUUAUCCCUUUCUUGUUCAUUA
Triticum urartu is the source of this 2657-nucleotide long non-coding RNA. RefSeq lists it as uncharacterized. NCBI's taxonomy places the organism in Eukaryota, Viridiplantae, Streptophyta, Magnoliopsida, Poales, Poaceae. The record is from RefSeq and is a predicted model, not a curated record.